UGCUGCGCCGUAGGGAAGCCGCUAAACGAGCCGCCUGGGAAGUACGUCCGCAAGGAUGAAACUUAAAGGAAUUGGCGGGGGAGCACUACAACCGGAGGAGCCUGCGGUUUAAUUGGACUCAACGCCGGACAUCUCACCAGCCCCGACAUCAGUAAUGACAGUCAUGUUGACGACAUCCGCUCGAGCUGAUGAGAGGAGGUGCAUGGCCGCCGUCAGCUCGUACCGUGAGGCAUCCUGUUAAGUCAGGCAACGAGCGAGAUCCACGUCCCUAAUUGCCAGCACCACCGCCAGGUGGGUGGGUACAUUAGGGAGACUGCCAGUGCUAAACUGGAGGAAGGAAUGGGCAACGGUAGGUCAGUAUGCCCCGAAUGGGCUGGGCAACACGCGGGCUACAAUGGUCAGGACAACGGGUUCCAACACUGAAAAGUGACGGUAAUCUCGCAAACCUGGUCGUAGUUCGGAUUGUGGGCUGAAACUCGCCCACAUGAAGCUGGAUUCGGUAGUAAUCGCGUGUCAGAAGCGCGCGGUGAAUACGUCCCUGCUCCUUGCACACACCGCCCGUCAAAGCACCCGAGUGAGGUCCGGAUGAGGCCACAUCACUGUGGUCAAAUCUGGGCUUCGCAAGGGGGCUUAAGUCGUAACAAGGUUUCCGUAGGUGAA
This 660-nucleotide ribosomal RNA is filed under the name uncultured archaeon. RNAcentral's name for it is "bacterial SSU rRNA". It matches the Rfam family "Archaeal small subunit ribosomal RNA", at positions 794 to 1457 of the family's 1478-position model. The record is from RNAcentral.